This is a long non-coding RNA of Labrus mixtus (cuckoo wrasse), 529 nucleotides long. RefSeq lists it as uncharacterized. The record is from RefSeq and is a predicted model, not a curated record. The transcript is spliced from 2 exons. Lineage: Eukaryota; Metazoa; Chordata; Actinopteri; Labriformes; Labridae.
CAGGGAUGACAGGAAACACCAUCGUGAAAGGACAGAGCUUAGGCCUACCUCCUCCAGUGCAUUCGGGAGUUUGAUGGACGGCAUUUUGCCCUGAAAGAGUGUGUGGUCUCUCUGAUUAAGUGGUUCUCAACAGUUCAACAGUUCUUUGAGAAAAUUGUGAAAUGUUUAGGACCACUUGACCAGGCAGACGAAUGCUGUCAACCAGUCGAGGCAAAAAUGCUCCCGUUGUAUGGAUCUAUAAAGGAAAGAAAACAUCUCCCAAGACUUCUAAUGACUUCAACAAGCACUGUGUGAUUUCCUGCUGACGUUUCUCUCCGUCUUCUGCUCUCCUUGUGCCCUCUGGUGUUACAAUGACAACUGCAGGCCAGAUUCUGUGUGUGAAGGGGGGGCUGUAAAAAUCAGCAGGCCUCAGUCUUUUCGUUCUGCUGGCACGUGUACAGAUUUUUAUAGCUCUGCUGCUGCACCUUUUUGCUGCUUUACUAUUGUCACUAUUCAGAAGUACUGAUUAAAACAAGUCAAUAAAAAGCCA